UGGUGGAGUGAUUUGUCUGGUUAAUUCCGUUAACGAACGAGACCUUAACCUGCAAAAUAGUCACGCUAACUAAGGUUUGCGGAUGACUUCUUUGAGGGACUAUGAACUUAUAGUUCACGGAAGUUUGAGGCAAUAACA
This 138-nucleotide ribosomal RNA is filed under the name uncultured eukaryote. RNAcentral describes it as "partial 18S ribosomal RNA". It matches the Rfam family "Eukaryotic small subunit ribosomal RNA", at positions 1299 to 1458 of the family's 1831-position model. The record is from RNAcentral.